RNAcentral lists this ribosomal RNA (253 nucleotides) under uncultured bacterium. RNAcentral describes it as "partial 16S ribosomal RNA". It matches the Rfam family "Bacterial small subunit ribosomal RNA", at positions 524 to 776 of the family's 1533-position model. The record is from RNAcentral.
UACGUAGGGGGCAAGCGUUGUCCGGAAUUAUUGGGCGUAAAGAGCGUGUAGGCGGUCCGGUAAGUCAGCUGUGAAAGUCAAGGGCUCAACCCUUGAAAGCCGGUUGAUACUGUCGGGCUAGAGUCCGGAAGAGGCGAGUGGAAUUCCCGGUGUAGCGGUGAAAUGCGCAGAUAUCGGGAAGAACACCUAUGGCGAAGGCAGCUCUCUGGGACGGUACUGACGCUGAGACGCGAAAGCGUGGGGAGCGAACAGG